RNAcentral lists this ribosomal RNA (490 nucleotides) under uncultured bacterium. RNAcentral's name for it is "partial 16S ribosomal RNA". It matches the Rfam family "Bacterial small subunit ribosomal RNA", at positions 30 to 507 of the family's 1533-position model. The record is from RNAcentral.
AUUGAACGCUGGCGGCAGGCCUAACACAUGCAAGUCGAACGGUAACAGGAAACAGCUUGCUGUUUCGCUGACGAGUGGCGGACGGGUGAGUAAUGUCUGGGAAACUGCCUGAUGGAGGGGGAUAACUACUGGAAACGGUAGCUAAUACCGCAUAACGUCGCAAGACCAAAGAGGGGGACCUUCGGGCCUCUUGCCAUCAGAUGUGCCCAGAUGGGAUUAGCUAGUAGGUGGGGUAACGGCUCACCUAGGCGACGAUCCCUAGCUGGUCUGAGAGGAUGACCAGCCACACUGGAACUGAGACACGGUCCAGACUCCUACGGGAGGCAGCAGUGGGGAAUAUUGCACAAUGGGCGCAAGCCUGAUGCAGCCAUGCCGCGUGUAUGAAGAAGGCCCUCGGGUUGUAAAGUACUUUCAGCGGGGAGGAAGGGAGUAAAGUUAAUACCUUUGCUAAUUGACGUUACCCGCAGAAGAAGCACCGGCUAACUCCGUG